GGUGUGCAGCCAGGUUUGGGAAUCCCUGCUGUGGCUGACCUGUCUUGGGAGUCACAUGCUCACAACAUUCUCCCUGGGACAUCGCUGGGUGAAGCUGCGCCCUUCGUCUUCUGUGCCUCCCACCACUGCCCCGCCUGCAGGCGGACCACCUGAUCUUCUCCAUAGGUUGGGACAGUGCUUCUCACGCUGGGAUCAAGGCUUCUGGGAAUCCCAACAGCGCGGCCCGAGAGGCGUCGGGAGGCAGAACGGCCCCCGUCCCCGGCGCCCUCUCUGGGGCCGUCGCUGCUUGGCAAAGACAGGCUGGGGUGAGUGAUCAAACCACGCUGGGUGUCCGGGCCGGUGGCCCCAAGGCCCACACCGCCUUUCACCCUCUUGGCUCGUACUCUGGCUCCUUCGCCGUCCCACCUGCGAAGCCUCCUCUCUUCUCCACCCUAGCCUCCGUCUACUUUUACGAACCUUCGGCGCUCGCCCUGGGGACGUCCUCCCGCCCGGCGACCAUCCCCUGCGUCAGGGCCGCGCCCAGGGCGCCCGGCGCCCCCUCCCCUGCAGGGCCUGGCGCCCGGGGUCCGAGAACGCGAAACCCUUUGGCCCCCUUCACAAGCCGCAGCACCGCUCCACGCAGCCGGCAGACUGCGCCGGAGCCUGGAAGGCGCUCCCCCAAAGCCCCGGGACUUGGGCAGGAGCGGCGCGCGGGGCGGGGCCUCCCCCAAGCCCGUCCCCCCGGCGAGGGCGGAGGGAGGAGGAGGAGGCGGCGGUGGCGGAAGGGGGGCGCGGAACACAAACCCUGCAAGGUUUAUGGUUUUUUUUCUUUUGCAUUUAAUUAAAAAAACAUUUUUUUUCCCCCAAACCAGAGGGGUCCUCCCCGGGGAGGGCGCGGGUCCGGGGCGGCCGGGCCGCGGCGCGGGGCCCCGGCGGGGCCUGGCGGAGGCUGCCGGGCGGCCGCCAUGCGCCUUCUGGGUCCUCCCUCUGCAGCCCGUGCGGGGCCGUCUCGGAGACGCCGCGCCGACGGCUGCUCGAACAUCAGGGACCCUGCAGGGAUCUUUGAGUUGGUGAAACUUGUUGGAAAUGGAACAUAUGGACAAGUUUCUAAGGUAUAGAACCUUCCUUGCCUCCCUGGAAAAAAUCCCACAUGGUUGUGGAAAUCAUGCUGGCCUAUUCCACUGAUCGUCCACGCUGAAGGGACAUAUUGACUCUCUCACAACACAUGAUGCUUCUUUCACGGUUUUUAUUGUAAUGUACCUGAAUUCUGGUUAGUAUUCCAGAAAAGAAAUACAGAUGGCCAACAGACACAUGAAAAGAUGCUCCACAUUGCUAAUUAUCAGAGAAAUGCAAAUUAAAGCUACAAUGAGGUAUCACCUCACACCAGUAAGGAUAGCUGCCAUCCAAAAGACAAACAACAACAAAUGUUGGUGAGGCUGUGGAGAAAGGGGAACCCUCCUACACUGCUGGUGGGAAUGUAAGUUAGUUCAACCAUUGUGGAAAGCAGUAUGGAGGUUCCUCAAAAUGCUCAAAACAGACUUACCAUUUGACCCAGAAUUGCACUCCUAGGAAUUUACCCUAUGAAUGCAGCAAUCAAGUAUGAGAAAGACCAAUGCACCCCUAUGUUUAUUGCAGCACUAUUUAUAAUAGCCAAGAAUUGGAAGCAACCUAAAUGUCCAUCGAUAGAUGAAUGGAUAAAGAAGAAGUGGUACAUAUACAUAAUGGAAUACUACUCAGCCAUGAGAAGAGGGCAAAUCCUACCAUUUGCAGCAACAUGGAUGGAGCUGGAGGGUAUUAUGCUCAGUGAAACAAGCCAAGCAGAGAAAGAGAAAUACCAAAUGAUUUCACUCAUCUGUGGAGUAUAAGAACAAAGGAAAAACUGAAGGAACAAA
Manis pentadactyla (Chinese pangolin) is the source of this 1871-nucleotide long non-coding RNA. RefSeq lists it as uncharacterized. The transcript is spliced from 5 exons. Lineage: Eukaryota; Metazoa; Chordata; Mammalia; Pholidota; Manidae. The record is from RefSeq and is a predicted model, not a curated record.